AUAAAUAAAGUUUUUAGUAGAAUGGUAAAUAGAAAACAAUCAAUCAAUCAUCAACAACUUUUAAAAUGGAAUUUUUCAUAUUUGUUAUUUAAUAAUACAUUUCACUUGUCACAUAUCUGACGUCCAAAUAAUUCUGAUUUUUUUGUGUUGUAGGGCUUGUGUCUUGACCAUUAAAAAACUCAAAAACUGUUCAAUUUUAUAGGUUAAAUGUUGAUUGACGAUAUAUUAUCACAAUUUUGAAAGUUUUUAAAUUUCAAAAUAAGUUGACUUGAAGUUUUAUUCUUCUACAAAGUUUAUAAGUUUAUGUAAAUUGAAUAAGGUAGACCAUUUAACUACAAAAUGUUCUAUAAAGUUUAUUUUAUACUUCUUUGCCUAUUUACUAGACGAUGUCUGGAUUGUGUUUCAGGCAGGCAACCACCGCCCUAGAGCCAGUGGGCAGCCGAGCGACGACCCUGUCACAGUAGUCAAGUGCCCCCUGUAGCUGUCGUCGUCCCCAGGGGCCCGUGAGAUGGAUGGAGGCGGUGGGAAUGCGAAAUGAAUAACAGACGCCCGGUGAUGGUGAGAAUACUGAUGCUGGACUGAUGAACGUGCCAACUCCACUGAUACCUCACCAUAUUAUUUGUUUUACAUAGAGCAAUCCAAUAUUUUUUAUACACUUAUGAAGUGUUUUAUCAAUAAACAUAAUAAAUAAUAAGAGUAUUUGAACAAACGAAAUUAACACUUGAAAAGUAAUGUUGUCUGUUUAUGUAAAGAGUUUGUCACAUUUUAUACUCUGAAAUUGUUUUAUAUAAUUUCAUUAUAAUUCUCAUAAUGUGUAAUAGAUUGCAUAAAAUUGUUAUUAAAAACUCUAUUUACUAAAUAA
Molecule: long non-coding RNA, 862 nt
Organism: Nilaparvata lugens (brown planthopper)
Lineage: Eukaryota; Metazoa; Arthropoda; Insecta; Hemiptera; Delphacidae
Exons: 3
Source: RefSeq, a predicted model, not a curated record